CCUACGGGCGGCUGCAGUGAGGAAUAUUGGUCAAUGGACGAGAGUCUGAACCAGCCAAGUAGCGUGAAGGAUGACUGCCCUAUGGGUUGUAAACUUCUUUUAUAUGGGAAUAAAACGUUCCACGUGUGGGAUUUUGUAUGUACCAUAUGAAUAAGGAUCGGCUAACUCCGUGCCAGCAGCCGCGGUAAUACGGAGGAUCCGAGCGUUAUCCGGAUUUAUUGGGUUUAAAGGGAGCGUAGGUGGAUUGUUAAGUCAGUUGUGAAAGUUUGCGGCUCAACCGUAAAAUUGCAGUUGAAACUGGCAGUCUUGAGUACAGUAGAGGUGGACGGAAUUCGUGGUGUAGCGGUGAAAUGCUUAGAUAUCACGAAGAACUCCGAUUGCGAAGGCAGUUCACUGGACUGCAACUGACACUGAGGCUCGAAAGUGUGGGUAUCAAACAGGAUUAGAUACCCGUGUAGUC
RNAcentral lists this ribosomal RNA (460 nucleotides) under uncultured bacterium. RNAcentral's name for it is "partial 16S ribosomal RNA". It matches the Rfam family "Bacterial small subunit ribosomal RNA", at positions 338 to 795 of the family's 1533-position model. The record is from RNAcentral.